Non-coding RNA from Pelodiscus sinensis (Chinese soft-shelled turtle), 2633 nucleotides. The record is from RefSeq and is a predicted model, not a curated record. Lineage: Eukaryota; Metazoa; Chordata; Testudines; Trionychidae.
UGACACCUUAAAAGUUUCAGAUGGACUAGGUUGUCUUUGAGGUUUCAUAGGAAACAUUAUCUGGCAUAAAGCAAGGGAUAAAGCUUCCUGAAACAAAAAGGAAAAUAGUAUUAAAUUUAACAGUCUGUCACUGUCAUGAAAGUAGUCUAAUUAAAAAAGCUUAAACUUUGAGAGGGGGGAAACAAAAUAGAGAAGUGUGGUAGAAUUCUUUUUAAUAUAAAAAAACAAACCCUGUAGUUUGGAUCAGUUCAUUGUCCAUUCAGCGAGUGCAAAUUCCCCAAAACUUCCUAGGCACAGUCAGCUAUUUCAUAUGUUCAGCCAAACAUAGUAUGGCUGCUAGAUUAGAAACUCUAAAAUAAAUCAGAAUUUGUAUAUGCCUUAUUUUAAAUCUUUCCUUGUUCAGUAGUUUAACUUUUAAGCCCUAGCAGUGUAGAUGAAGCCCUCAGUCCAAACCAAUAUACAGUACUGAUCAAAGCAGCCAUUGGUGAUAACGUUACAUUUUAUUGCAGAGCUAAUUAUAUAUAAUGAAAGGUCUCCACAAAUCAGUCUGAGUGCAACUGCAUUUUGAGAUUCACCAUUGUCAUUUGCUCUUAAGUUUUUACUCUAUAAAAAAGGCCCUUUUCAAGGCUGACAGGACCAAAACUUGACGUACACUUUUUUCCUCUCUGCAGCACCUGAGUAUUCAUGAGCAACCACUCAGUAAUUCUGAACGUGUGAUGAAAGAAAAUAACAUUUGAUACCAAUAAUAGACAAGGCUGCUUACAGAGUAAAAGUGAAGACUAAGUGUAAAUAUACUCUGAGGACCUGCGGCAUGGCCAUAACUGCUAGAUGAAUGCUUUGGCUGACAAUCUGAGACCCCAGGAAGAGGGGCAUGGAGGUGGCAGAGACCAAGUUCCAGCCUGAGCCUCUAUGCUGCAAUUUUUAUCCCCACAGCUAGAACUCAAGCUAGCUGUUCUGGGACCCUGUGCCAUGGGAUUUCUUACUGGAGUGUAGACAUCCCAACUGUAUUGGGAGAGUUUGCUCUCAGACCAUACAGUAUUUCAGCACUGAACAUUUUUUUAUUAGUAUUUGUACCCUAAACCUCUACAACACUUUUGGCCACUCUGGGGAUGUGCUGCACUUGUGCUUUCCAUUAGUAUGCAAGAUGGGCUAGAUAUUGCAUUUCAUACCCACAGAGAACUUGCUAAGUUUUAAUUCACCACAGCCUCCCCUCAGCAUCAUCCCAGCAGAUGCAGGGUCUUCUUACCUUGCAAAAUAUGCUGGCCUAUCAUGGCAGCUCUCUAUUGAUGGAGAAGAGGCCAGGUCCAUAUAUACCCAUAAGUUCUUUGCUACUGACCUGACUCUGUCUCAGUUCCCCUAUUUGAUAGUAUGACUUUCAUAGAACUACACGGAUAGGGUCUUCUCCUGGCUAUAACCCCUAAAAGCGGGCUCGGGGGAAGUUGAUACAACUUUAAGGUAUAUUAAAUCUUUGCUAAGUAAUUUCUGCAGGGCCAGAGAGCAAAUGAGUUGCAUGUUUUUCCCCUCAGACUCACAGAGCAUGGAAGGUGUAGGCUCAGGGUCAUUGAACCCCUUUUGCACAUGGCAGUUUUAGAGCAUGAUGUCUGCAUGUUUGGGUUUCAGAUAGUUAAGUAUCCUAUAUGAACCACAUUUGCUACCUUGUAAAUGAAGUUAGUAAAAACCCUUUGUUCUUUAAGUUGUCAUAGUGUAAAUGCACAGCACAAACAUCUUUUUUAGGAGAGAAAAAAUUAGAGAAACUCGUUUGACUCAUUUACCUAUUUUAUAUGUAUUUUAUGCACAGUUCUGGACUCUGUCUCAUUUAGAAAUUAACUUUUGAGAUUUCUCUCAUCCCAGAUUUUUAUAAGCAAUGUUUAACAGCCAGAUACUUUCCUUUAUUAAAAAUGGUUUUCUUCGGUAUGUCCAAUUUUAUAUAACACUAAAAUUAAUUUCUUCGUUUUCUUAAAUAUUAAUUGCAGUAAAAUUAGUUGAGCAUGAUUAACGUAGCGGGAAGGAUACCACAAAACUACAGGAUACCACAAACUAGCGGGAAGGAUACCACAAAACCAUUAACAUCUACCAAGUUUUCAAUGAGCUGCUGCCAAUAUUUUGACAAAGAAAUCCCCCCAAAAUCCACUUCCCACUUAGCCUGCUGUGAAGCCUGUGUAGCUGAGUGUGUGCUUGCAGAGAAUAGGAAUGAAGGACAAGGGAAGAUAGUUAUGCAUUUUUCCAUUAAAACAAAGAUAAUCGUAACCAAGAAGGGAGAGAAUUCAACCUGCAAUAAUACAAGGAGGAGAAAGGCUCAAGAAGAACAGAUGAUUCACCUAUCUUACAGUCUGUUCCAUACUAGAGAAAUUCAUGAAAAUAAGUCACCUUUGACUCAUCAGAAAGGUUUGUUUUUAUGCAAUAAAGUACUGUAUAUUGCCAUUUGUCAUUCUACUGGGAAUUUAAAAAAAAUCAGAUUAGUUACUGUAUAUUACAUGUACAUUGUCAGAUAUUGGACAUUUUAUAUUAUUAUAGCUUCAGUCUCCUGUAUUCCUGCUAACCAUCCUUAAAAAUUCAGUCACAAAGGAAAUCCUAGCUUAUCUAAUUUAUCUUGUAAAUGGGAUUUGCAAACUCACUUUUAUUUUCUUUAUACA